GACGAACGCUGGCGGCGUGCUUAACACAUGCAAGUCGAACGGAAAGGCCCUGCUUGCAGGGUACUCGAGUGGCGAACGGGUGUGUAACACGUGGGUGAUCUGCCCUGCACUUCGGGAUAAGCUUGGGGAACUGGGUCUAAUACCGGAUAGGAGCCAUCUUUAGUGUGGUGGUUGGAAAGUUUUUUCGGUGUAGGAUGAGCUUGCGGCCUAUCAGCUUGUUGGUGGGGUAAUGGCCUACCAAGGCGGCGACGGGUAGCCGGCCUGAGAGGGUGUACGGCCACAUUGGAACUGAGAGACAGGCCAGACUCCGAAGGGAGGCAGCAGGGGGGAAUAUUGCACAAUGGGCGCAAGCGUGAGGCAGGGACGCCGCGUGGGGGAUGAAGGCUUUUGGGUUGUAAGAUCCUUUCGCUAGUGACGAAGCUUUUUUGUGACGGUACCUAAAGAAGAAGCACCGGCUAACUACGUG
RNAcentral lists this ribosomal RNA (466 nucleotides) under uncultured bacterium. Its description in RNAcentral is "partial 16S ribosomal RNA". It matches the Rfam family "Bacterial small subunit ribosomal RNA", at positions 28 to 507 of the family's 1533-position model. The record is from RNAcentral.